RNAcentral lists this long non-coding RNA (354 nucleotides) under Solanum tuberosum (potato). RNAcentral describes it as "long non-coding RNA (STUB_LNC005991)". Lineage: Eukaryota; Viridiplantae; Streptophyta; Magnoliopsida; Solanales; Solanaceae. The record is from RNAcentral.
UGUCAUAUGAGAAAUCAUUGUUACCACCUCCACCUCCAUCAUUAUCACCUCCCUAAUUUACAUCGAAAUCCAACACCUUAGCACAUCUUUAUCAUCUUCAUUUAUAAUAUCUCCAAGUUGUUCAUGAUUUCCAACCCCAUUAGUUUCAUCAUCUCCACCAUCCUCAUGAUUUUUUUCCUCCUCUAAUUCUUUCUAUUUAUUUAGGUAGAUUGAUUUUGCAAGAGUAUUACAUGAGUUCAAAAAUUUGUUUAGAAUUAACAAUAAAGAAUUCGAUAAAAAUGGGGUGGCAGCAACGACUAUGGUGGUGGCAACACCUAUUUAGAGGUGGAGAAUGAUGGAGAGAUUUGUUUUAUA